Molecule: ribosomal RNA, 253 nt
Filed under: uncultured bacterium
Lineage: Bacteria
Description: partial 16S ribosomal RNA
Rfam family: Bacterial small subunit ribosomal RNA
Source: RNAcentral
UACGUAGGGAGCAAGCGUUGUCCGGAAUCAUUGGGCGUAAAGCGCGCGUAGGCGGCCCUGUAAGUCCGUUGUGAAAGUCGGGGGCUCAACCCUCGGAUGCCGGUGGAUACUGUCUGGCUUGAGUACGGAAGAGGCGAGUGGAAUUCCUGGUGUAGCGGUGAAAUGCGCAGAUAUCAGGAGGAACACCAAUUGCGAAGGCAGCUCGCUGGGACGUUACUGACGCUGAGACGCGAAAGCGUGGGGAGCAAACAGG